UUCCAUAAAAACUAAUGAAGUUAAAUAAGGGAAAUGAAUGCGGCCUUAAUAACUUUGAAAUGGUAAAUAAAGAACUUAGUUUGAUUUGAUUAACUGUUACGGGAAAAGUUUGGAUUAUCACUGCGGUAAAAAUAUACCUAACUGCGGGAUUAUAUGUCCUAAUGGUGGUAAAUUAUAACAUGUCUUCUGCUUAUUCAUAGCUGUGUAUGUUUACGUG
This 217-nucleotide long non-coding RNA is filed under the name Mytilus galloprovincialis (Mediterranean mussel). The record is from RNAcentral. Lineage: Eukaryota; Metazoa; Mollusca; Bivalvia; Mytilida; Mytilidae.